Molecule: small nucleolar RNA, 99 nt
Filed under: Ophiocordyceps unilateralis
Lineage: Eukaryota; Fungi; Ascomycota; Sordariomycetes; Hypocreales; Ophiocordycipitaceae
Description: Small nucleolar RNA snR60/Z15/Z230/Z193/J17
Rfam family: Small nucleolar RNA snR60/Z15/Z230/Z193/J17
About the family: The members of this family belong to the C/D class of snoRNAs which contain the C (UGAUGA) and D (CUGA) box motifs. Most of the members of the box C/D family function in directing site-specific 2'-O-methylation of substrate RNAs.
Source: Rfam by way of RNAcentral
GCAGUUCUAUGAUGAUUACCCUUUCCAAUGCAUAGUUCAUCUGAAAAAGAUGAUGAAAACUCUCCUUCACAAGUCUUUCGCUCCCAUCUGAUGCACCUC